This 437-nucleotide ribosomal RNA is filed under the name uncultured bacterium. RNAcentral's name for it is "bacterial SSU rRNA". It matches the Rfam family "Bacterial small subunit ribosomal RNA", at positions 767 to 1205 of the family's 1533-position model. The record is from RNAcentral.
AGCUAAUAGAUACCCGUAGUCCACGCCCUAAACGAUGUCUACUAGUUGUUGGUGGAGUAAAAUCCAUGAGUAAACGCAGCUAAACGCGUGAAGUAGACCGCCUGGGGAGUACGGUCGCAAGAUUAAAACUCAAAGGAAUUGACGGGGGCCCGGCACAAGCGGUGGAUUAUGUGGAUUAAAUUCGAUGCAACGCGAAAAACCUUACCUGGCCUUGACAUGCCACUAACGAAGCAGAGAUGCAUUAGGUGCCCGUAAGGGAAAGUGGACACAGGUGCUGCAUGGCUGUCGUCAGCUCGUGUCGUGAGAUGUUGGGUUAAGUCCCGCAACGAGCGCAACCCUUGCCAUUAAUUGCCAUCAUUUAGUUGGGCACUUUAAUGGGACUGCCGGUGACAAACCGGAGGAAGGUGGGGAUGACGUCAAGUCCUCAUGGCCCUUAU